Molecule: long non-coding RNA, 1149 nt
Organism: Mytilus californianus (California mussel)
Lineage: Eukaryota; Metazoa; Mollusca; Bivalvia; Mytilida; Mytilidae
Exons: 3
Source: RefSeq, a predicted model, not a curated record
GUCCAACUGGCAGGUGUCAUCUGACCUUGACCUCAUUUUCAUGGUUCAGUGGUUAUAGUUAAGUUUUUGUGUUUUGGUCUGUUUUUCUUAUACUGUAUGCAAUAGGUCUACUAUAUUUGGUGUAUGGAAUGAUUGUAAGGUGUACAUGUCCAACUGGCAGGUGUCAUCUGACUUUGACCUCAUUUUCAUGGUUCAGUGGUCAAAGUUAAGUUUUUGAGUUUUGGUCUUUUUUCUUAUACUAUAUGCAAUAAGUCAACUAUAUUUGGUGUAUGGAAAUAUUCUAUGAUGUACAUGUCAGUCUCGCAGGUUUUAUUUGACCUUGACCUCAUUUUCACGGUUCAUUGCUCAGUGUUAAGUUUAUGUGUUUCAGUCUGUUUUUCUUAAACUAUAAGCAAUAGGUCAGCUAUAUUUGUUGUAUGGAAGGAUUGUAAGCUGUUCAUGUCUGCCUGGCAUGGUUCAUCUGACCUUGACCUCAUUUUCACGAUUCAUUGGUCAAUGUUUAGUUUUUGUCGAGCCUGCGACUUUUGUCGCAGAAAGCUCGACAUAGGGAUAGCGAUCCGGCGGCGGCGGCGUUAGCUAACUUCUUAAAAGCUUUAUAUUUUAGAAGAUGGAAGACCUGGAUGCUUCAUACUUUGUAUAUGGAUGCCUCAUGUUACGAAGUUUCCGUCAGUCACAUGUCCAAUGUCCUUGACCUCAUUUUCAUGGUUCAGUGACUACUUGAAAAAAAAGUUUAGAUUUUUUGUAAUGUUAAAUUCUCUCUUAUUAUAAGUAAUAGGAUAACUAUAUUUGGUAUGUGCGUACCUUGCAAGGUCCUCAUGCCUGUCAGACAGUUUUCACUUGACCUCGACCUCAUUUCAUGGAUCAGUGAACAAGGUUAAGUUUUGGUGGUCAAGUCCAUAUCUCACAUACUAUAAGCAAUAGGUCUAGUAUAUUCGGUGUAUGGAAGGACUGUAAGGUGUACAUGUCCAACUGGCAGGUGUCAUCUGACCUUGACCUCAUUUUCAUGGUUCAGUGGUUAUAGUUAAGUUUUUGUGUUUUGGUCUGUUUUUCUUAUACUGUAUGCAAUAGGUCUACUAUAUUUGGUGUAUGGAAUGAUUGUAAGGUGUACAUGUCCAACUGGCAGGUGUCAUCUGACUUUGACCUCAUUUU